This 301-nucleotide ribosomal RNA is filed under the name uncultured bacterium. RNAcentral describes it as "partial 16S ribosomal RNA". It matches the Rfam family "Bacterial small subunit ribosomal RNA", at positions 509 to 807 of the family's 1533-position model. The record is from RNAcentral.
CAGCAGCCACGGUAAUACGGAGGGGGCUAGCGUUGUUCGGAAUUACUGGGCGUAAAGCGCACGUAGGCGGCUUGGUAAGUUAGAGGUGAAAGCCCGGAGCUCAACUCCGGAAUUGCCUUUAAGACUGCCGAGCUAGUAGGUGAGAGAGGUAAGUGGAAUUCCGAGUGUAGAGGUGAAAUUCGUAGAUAUUCGGAAGAACACCAGUGGCGAAGGCGGCUUACUGGCUCAUUCUAGACGCUGAGGUGCGAAAGCGUGGGGAGCAAACAGGAUUAGAUACCCCUGUAGUCCCUGUCUCUUAUAC